AUUGAACGCUGGCGGCAGGCCUAACACAUGCAAGUCGAGCGACCGCCGGACGGGUGAGUAAUGUCUGGGAAACUGCCUGAUGGAGGGGGCUAACUACUGGAAACGGUAGCUAAUACCGCAUACCAUCAGAUGUGCCCAGAGGGGAUUAGCUAGUAGGUGGGGUAACGGCGCGCCUAGGCGACGAUCCCUAGCGGGUCUGAGAGGCUGACCAGCGACACUGGAAGGGAGACACGGUCCAGACUCCUAUGGUAGGGAGCAGUGGGGAAUAGUGCACAAGGGGAGAAAGCCUGAUGCAGCCAUGCCGCGUGUGUGAAGGGGGCCUUCGGGUUGGAGAGCACUAUCAGGGGGGAGGCGUUACCCGAAGAAUAAGCACCGGCUAACUCCGUGCCAGCAGCCGCGGUAAUAC
Molecule: ribosomal RNA, 406 nt
Filed under: uncultured bacterium
Lineage: Bacteria
Description: partial 16S ribosomal RNA
Rfam family: Bacterial small subunit ribosomal RNA
Source: RNAcentral